Molecule: ribosomal RNA, 721 nt
Filed under: uncultured bacterium
Lineage: Bacteria
Description: bacterial SSU rRNA
Rfam family: Bacterial small subunit ribosomal RNA
Source: RNAcentral
CCUAACACAUGCAAGUCGAACGGUAACAGGAAGAAGCUUGCUUCUUUGCUGACGAGUGGCGGACGGGUGAGUAAUGUCUGGGAAACUGCCUGAUGGAGGGGGAUAACUACUGGAAACGGUAGCUAAUACCGCAUAACGUCGCAAAACCAAAGAGGGGGACCUUCGGGCCUCUUGCCAUCGGAUGUGCCCAGAUGGGAUUAGCUAGUAGGUGGGGUAACGGCUCACCUAGGCGACGAUCCCUAGCUGGUCUGAGAGGAUGACCAGCCACACUGGAACUGAGACACGGUCCAGACUCCUACGGGAGGCAGCAGUGGGGAAUAUUGCACAAUGGGCGCAAGCCUGAUGCAGCCAUGCCGCGUGUAUGAAGAAGGCCUUCGGGUUGUAAAGUACUUUCAGCGGGGAGGAAGGGAGUAAAGUUAAUACCUUUGCUCAUUGACGUUACCCGCAGAAGAAGCACCGGCUAACUCCGUGCCAGCAGCCGCGGUAAUACGGAGGGUGCAAGCGUUAAUCGGAAUUACUGGGCGUAAAGCGCACGCAGGCGGUUUGUUAAGUCAGAUGUGAAAUCCCCGGGCUCAACCUGGGAACUGCAUCUGAUACUGGCAAGCUUGAGUCUCGUAGAGGGGGGUAGAAUUCCAGGUGUAGCGGUGAAAUGCGUAGAGAUCUGGAGGAAUACCGGUGGCGAAGGCGGCCCCCUGGACGAAGACUGACGCUCAGGUGCGAA